Molecule: ribosomal RNA, 497 nt
Filed under: uncultured bacterium
Lineage: Bacteria
Description: partial 16S ribosomal RNA
Rfam family: Bacterial small subunit ribosomal RNA
Source: RNAcentral
GAUGAACGCUGGCGGCGUGCCUAAUACAUGCAAGUCGAGCGAACAGAUGAUGAGCUUGCUCCUCUGACGUUAGCGGCGGGCGGGUGAGUAACACGUGGAUAACCUACCUAUAAUACGGGUAUAACUUCGGAAAUGCGGAGCUAAUAGGGGAGAAGAUAUUGAACCACAUGGGUGAAUGGUGAAAGUCGGUGUUGCGGUCACGUCUAGAUGGAUCCCGGCCGGAUUAGCUAGUUGGUAAGUUAACGGGUUACCAAGGCAACUAUGCGUAGGCGAACUGAGAGGGUGAUAGGCCACCUUGGAACUGAACCACGGUCAAGGGUACUAAGGGAGGCAGCAGUAGGGAAUCUGCCGCAAAGGGCGAAAGCCUGACGGAGUAACGGCGAGUGUGUGAUGACGGUCUUCGGAUCGUAAAAAUCUGUUAUUAGGGAAGAACAAAUGUGUCAGUAACUAUGCACGUCUUGACGGUAACUAAUCAGAAAGCCACGGCUAACUACGUG